UCCCUGGUGGACUAGUGGUUAGGAUUUGGCAUUCUUAUGGCUAUGGCCUAGGUUCAGUUCCUGGUCAGGGAA
RNAcentral lists this transfer RNA (72 nucleotides) under Heterocephalus glaber (naked mole-rat). It matches the Rfam family "tRNA". From Rfam's summary of the family: Transfer RNA (tRNA) molecules are approximately 80 nucleotides in length. Their secondary structure includes four short double-helical elements and three loops (D, anti-codon, and T loops). Lineage: Eukaryota; Metazoa; Chordata; Mammalia; Rodentia; Bathyergidae. The record is from Rfam by way of RNAcentral.